GGACGGGUGGCCGAGUGGCUUAAGGCGCACGAUUGGAAAUCGUGUGGGGCUAAACGCCCGCGUGGGUUCGAAUCCCACCCCGUCCG
Molecule: transfer RNA, 86 nt
Filed under: Gemmatimonadota bacterium
Lineage: Bacteria; Pseudomonadati; Gemmatimonadota
Also listed under: 1 other name
Description: Gemmatimonadetes bacterium (marine sediment metagenome) tRNA-Ser
Rfam family: tRNA
About the family: Transfer RNA (tRNA) molecules are approximately 80 nucleotides in length. Their secondary structure includes four short double-helical elements and three loops (D, anti-codon, and T loops).
Source: RNAcentral